This 210-nucleotide long non-coding RNA is filed under the name Betta splendens (Siamese fighting fish). Its description in RNAcentral is "lncRNA (ENSBSLG00000004062.1)". Lineage: Eukaryota; Metazoa; Chordata; Actinopteri; Anabantiformes; Osphronemidae. The record is from RNAcentral.
AAUCCCACUCAGCAGCUUUGCUCAGUGGUUUGCUCACCACCACGUCAGGCUGGAAACACCCCACCCUUUGCGUUUCUUUUGCUCUUCUAAUUCCCCUGCCCUGGCAAACACCAGCUCCCUCCACCAGGAAAUCUCCCAGAGAGGCUUGGUACCGUGGAGCACACGCUGUACUGUACACACAGGAAGCCCCGGCCUCAGCUUUGACUGAUG